UGUGAUUCAUGACUGGGGUGAAGUCGUAACAAGGUAACCGUAGGGGAACCUGCGGUUGGAUCACCUCCUUA
This 71-nucleotide non-coding RNA is filed under the name Pantoea agglomerans. RNAcentral's name for it is "partial 16S ribosomal RNA". It matches the Rfam family "Bacterial small subunit ribosomal RNA", at positions 1463 to 1533 of the family's 1533-position model. Lineage: Bacteria; Pseudomonadati; Pseudomonadota; Gammaproteobacteria; Enterobacterales; Erwiniaceae. RNAcentral also lists the same sequence under 56 other names. The record is from RNAcentral.